GAUGAAGAACGCAGUGAAAUGCGAUAAGUAAUGCGAAUUGCAGAAUUUCCGUGAAUCAUCGAAUCUUUGAACGCACAUUGCGCCCGCCAGUAUUCUGGCGGGCAUGCCUGUUCGAGCGUCAUUUCAACCAUCAAGCCCCAGGCUUGUGUUGGGGACCUGCGGCUGCCGCAGGCCCUGAAAACCAGUGGCGGGCUCGCUGUCACACCGGGCGUAGUAGAUUUUAUCUCGCUCAGGGCGUGCUGCGGGUUCCGGCCGUUAAAAAGCCUUUUUUACCCAAGGUUGACCUCGGAUCAGGUAGGAAGACCCGCUGAACUUAAGCAUAUCAAUAAGCGGAGGA
This 337-nucleotide unclassified non-coding RNA is filed under the name soil metagenome. Its description in RNAcentral is "partial contains 5.8S ribosomal RNA, internal transcribed spacer 2, and large subunit ribosomal RNA". The stretch from base 1 to 121 matches the Rfam family "5.8S ribosomal RNA", at positions 35 to 154 of the family's 154-position model. The record is from RNAcentral.